This is a non-coding RNA of Osmia lignaria (orchard mason bee), 580 nucleotides long. Lineage: Eukaryota; Metazoa; Arthropoda; Insecta; Hymenoptera; Megachilidae. The record is from RefSeq and is a predicted model, not a curated record.
ACUGGGCCGAAGAAGGACGCCGCGUCGUUUACAUUACACCAGCCCCGUUGGAAAGCCUGCCGGCGGCCUGUCACGACAGAAGUAAUCCAGCACCCGCGGCUUUCAAGCUGAUGAGAUUUAUUUGAAAAUUAUUGCGUAAUAAAUCGCAGUUCAUUUGUAUCCACGAAUCGAUCAAUUCGUUGCGAAGCGGCGCCAUUAUGUUGCGCCAUAGAAUAAUAUUAGAAGGAACGGUUUUCAAUCGAGAAACAUUGUUUAACAUACCGGAAGCAAUCGAUCAAGGAACAUUAGUUACUUUACACGUCACACGCGACAGAUAUUGACAUUCAGCGUGCAUAAACAUACACAUUGUUUACGAGCGAUCGUAUUUUCAGAAGAUGCUACGUUAAACGCACAUAGAUCACGUCAAGGAACAUUAUUCAUCUGGAAUAGUAGAGGAUUACACUGAAGUACCUAGAGAACUAUGAGGCUCUCAUCGAACGACUUGUGGAAUUGCACACAUUCGUCACUUUACCUUCUGUCCUCCUGAUCGACGACUUCGACGCUUAUGCGAACGAUUACCAAAAGAACGACGUAUCCCAAG